AGCCAGACUCCUACGGGAGGCAGCAGUGGGGAAUAUUGCACAAUGGGGGAAACCCUGAUGCAGCGACGCCGCGUGAGUGAAGAAGUAUUUCGGUAUGUAAAGCUCUAUCAGCAGGGAAGAAAAUGACGGUACCUGAUUAAGAAGCCCCGGCUAACUACGUGCCAGCAGCCGCGGUAAUACGUAGGGGGCAAGCGUUAUCCGGAUUUACUGGGUGUAAAGGGAGCGUAGACGGUGAUGCAAGUCAGAAGUGAAAGCCCGGGGCUCAACGCCGGGACUGCUUUUGAAACUGUGUAACUGGAGUGCAGGAGAGGUAAGCGGAAUUCCUGGUGUAGCGGUGAAAUGCGUAGAUAUCAGGAGGAACACCAGUGGCGAAGGCGGCUUACUGGACGGCAACUGACGCUGAGGCUCGAAAGCGUGGGGAGCAAACAGGAUUAGAUACCCUGGUAA
RNAcentral lists this ribosomal RNA (447 nucleotides) under uncultured bacterium. RNAcentral's name for it is "partial 16S ribosomal RNA". It matches the Rfam family "Bacterial small subunit ribosomal RNA", at positions 329 to 793 of the family's 1533-position model. The record is from RNAcentral.